GUAGCUGGUUCCCUCCGAAG
Molecule: small nuclear RNA, 20 nt
Filed under: Arabidopsis thaliana (thale cress)
Lineage: Eukaryota; Viridiplantae; Streptophyta; Magnoliopsida; Brassicales; Brassicaceae
Description: snRNA_07873
Source: RNAcentral